RNAcentral lists this transfer RNA (68 nucleotides) under Marmota monax (woodchuck). Its description in RNAcentral is "tRNA.Ala". The stretch from base 5 to 65 matches the Rfam family "tRNA", at positions 6 to 65 of the family's 71-position model. Rfam says of the family: Transfer RNA (tRNA) molecules are approximately 80 nucleotides in length. Their secondary structure includes four short double-helical elements and three loops (D, anti-codon, and T loops). Lineage: Eukaryota; Metazoa; Chordata; Mammalia; Rodentia; Sciuridae. The record is from RNAcentral.
GGAUUGUGGCUCUGUGGUAGAGCACUUGCCUUGCAUGCAUGAGGUGUUGGGUUCGAUCCUCAACACCA